UGGGGAAUAUUGCACACUGGGCGCAAGCCUGAUGCAGCCAUGCCGCGUGUAUUUAGUAGGCCUUCGGGUUGUCAAGUACUUUCAGCGGGGAGGAAGGGAGUAAAGUUAAUACCUUUGCUCAUUGACGUUACCCGCAGCAUAAGCACCGGCUAACUCCUUUCCAGCAGCCGCGUUAAUACGGAGGGUGCAAGCGUUAAUCGGAAUUACUGGGCGUAAAGCGCACGCAGGCGGUUUGUUAAGGCAGAUGUGAAAUCCCCGGGCUCAACCUGGGGAAGGCAUAUGAUACUGGCAAGCUUGAGUCACGUAGAAGGGGGUAGAAAUCCAGGUGUAGCGGUGAAAUGCGUGGAGGUCGGGAGGAAUACCGGUGGCGAAGGCGGCCCCCUGGACGAAGACUGACGCUCAGAUGCGAAAGCGUGAGGAGAAAACAGG
RNAcentral lists this ribosomal RNA (429 nucleotides) under Chloroflexota bacterium. RNAcentral's name for it is "Chloroflexi bacterium partial 16S ribosomal RNA". It matches the Rfam family "Bacterial small subunit ribosomal RNA", at positions 355 to 776 of the family's 1533-position model. The record is from RNAcentral. Lineage: Bacteria; Bacillati; Chloroflexota.